AUUGAACGCUGGCGGCAGGCCUAACACAUGCAAGUCGAACGGUAACAGGAAGCAGCUUGCUGCUUCGCUGACGAGUGGCGGACGGGUGAGUAAUGUCUGGGAAACUGCCUGAUGGAGGGGGAUAACUACUGGAAACGGUAGCUAAUACCGCAUAACGUCGCAAGACCAAAGAGGGGGACCUUAGGGCCUCUUGCCAUCGGAUGUGCCCAGAUGGGAUUAGCUAGUAGGUGGGGUAACGGCUCACCUAGGCGACGAUCCCUAGCUGGUCUGAGAGGAUGACCAGCCACACUGGAACUGAGACACGGUCCAGACUCCUACGGGAGGCAGCAGUGGGGAAUAUUGCACAAUGGGCGCAAGCCUGAUGCAGCCAUGCCGCGUGUAUGAAGAAGGCCUUCGGGUUGUAAAGUACUCUCAGCGGGGAGGAAGGGAGUAAAGUUAAUACCUUUGCUCAUUGACGUUACCCGCAGAAGAAGCGCCGGCUAACUCCGUG
RNAcentral lists this ribosomal RNA (490 nucleotides) under uncultured bacterium. RNAcentral describes it as "partial 16S ribosomal RNA". It matches the Rfam family "Bacterial small subunit ribosomal RNA", at positions 30 to 507 of the family's 1533-position model. The record is from RNAcentral.